This 498-nucleotide ribosomal RNA is filed under the name uncultured bacterium. Its description in RNAcentral is "partial 16S ribosomal RNA". It matches the Rfam family "Bacterial small subunit ribosomal RNA", at positions 30 to 523 of the family's 1533-position model. The record is from RNAcentral.
AUUGAACGCUGGCGGCAUGCCUUACACAUGCAAGUCGAACGGUAACAGGUCUUCGGAUGCUGACGAGUGGCGAACGGGUGAGUAAUACAUCGGAACGUGCCUAGUAGUGGGGGAUAACUACUCGAAAGAGUGGCUAAUACCGCAUGAGAUCUACGGAUGAAAGCAGGGGAUCGCAAGACCUGGUGCUACUAGAGCGGCCGAUGGCAGAGUAGGUAGUUGGUGGGAUAAAAGCUUACCAAGCCGACGAUCUGUAGCUGGUCUGAGAGGGCGAUCAGCCACACUGGGACUGAGACACGGCCCAGACUCCUACGGGAGGCAGCAGUGGGGAAUUUUGGACAAUGGGCGAAAGCCUGAUCCAGCAAUGCCGCGUGCAGGAUGAAGGCCUUCGGGUUGUAAACUGCUUUUGUACGGAACGAAAAGCCCCGGGUUAAUACCCUGGGGUCAUGACGGUACCGUAAGAAUAAGCACCGGCUAACUACGUGCCAGCAGCCGCCGUAA